CACCGCCCGUCACACCAUGAGAGCUGUUUGUACCCAAAGUCAUUUUAGCCAACCUGUAAAGGAGGCGGAUGCCUAAGGUAUGUAUGGUGAUUGGGGUG
Molecule: ribosomal RNA, 98 nt
Filed under: uncultured bacterium
Lineage: Bacteria
Description: partial 16S ribosomal RNA
Rfam family: Bacterial small subunit ribosomal RNA
Source: RNAcentral